GGCAUGGCGGCAGCUACACAUGCAGUCGAGCGGUAGCACAGAGAGCUUGCUCUCGGGUGACGAGCGGCGGACGGGUGAGUAAUGUCUGGGAAACUGCCUGAUGGAGGGGGAUAACUACUGGAAACGGUAGCUAAUACCGCAUAACGUCGCAAGACCAAAGUGGGGGACCUUCGGGCCUCAUGCCAUCAGAUGUGCCCAGAUGGGAUUAGCUGGUAGGUGGGGUAACGGCUCACCUAGGCGACGAUCCCUAGCUGGUCUGAGAGGAUGACCAGCCACACUGGAACUGAGACACGGUCCAGACUCCUACGGGAGGCAGCAGUGGGGAAUAUUGCACAAUGGGCGCAAGCCUGAUGCAGCCAUGCCGCGUGUGUGAAGAAGGCCUUCGGGUUGUAAAGCACUUUCAGCGGGGAGGAAGGCGGUGAGGUUAAUAACCUCAUCGAUUGACGUUACCCGCAGAAGAAGCACCGGCUAACUCCGUGCCAGCAGCCGCGGUAAUACGGAGGGUGCAAGCGUUAAUCGGAAUUACUGGGCGUAAAGCGCACGCAGGCGGUCUGUCAAGUCGGAUGUGAAAUCCCCGGGCUCAACCUGGGAACUGCAUUCGAAACUGGCAGGCUAGAGUCUUGUAGAGGGGGGUAGAAUUCCAGGUGUAGCGGUGAAAUGCGUAGAGAUCUGGAGGAAUACCGGUGGCGAAGGCGGCCCCCUGGACAAAGACUGACGCUCAGGUGCGAAAGCGUGGGGAGCAAACAGGAUUAGAUACCCUGGUAGUCCACGCUGUAAACGAUGUCGAUUUGGAGGUUGUGCCCUUGAGGCGUGGCUUCCGGAGCUAACGCGUUAAAUCGACCGCCUGGGGAGUACGGCCGCAAGGUUAAAACUCAAAUGAAUUGACGGGGGCCCGCACAAGCGGUGGAGCAUGUGGUUUAAUUCGAUGCAACGCGAAGAACCUUACCUGGUCUUGACAUCCACAGAACUUUCCAGAGAUGGAUUGGUGCCUUCGGGAACUGUGAGACAGGUGCUGCAUGGCUGUCGUCAGCUCGUGUUGUGAAAUGUUGGGUUAAGUCCCGCAACGAGCGCAACCCUUAUCCUUUGUUGCCAGCGGUCCGGCCGGGAACUCAAAGGAGACUGCCAGUGAUAAACUGGAGGAAGGUGGGGAUGACGUCAAGUCAUCAUGGCCCUUACGACCAGGGCUACACACGUGCUACAAUGGCAUAUACAAAGAGAAGCGACCUCGCGAGAGCAAGCGGACCUCAUAAAGUAUGUCGUAGUCCGGAUUGGAGUCUGCAACUCGACUCCAUGAAGUCGGAAUCGCUAGUAAUCGUAGAUCAGAAUGCUACGGUGAAUACGUUCCCGGGCCUUGUACACACCGCCCGUCACACCAUGGGAGUGGGUUGCAAAAGAAGUAGGUAGCUUAACCUUCGGGAGGGCGCUACCACUUUGAUCUUGGCG
This 1443-nucleotide ribosomal RNA is filed under the name uncultured Klebsiella sp. Its description in RNAcentral is "bacterial SSU rRNA". It matches the Rfam family "Bacterial small subunit ribosomal RNA". Lineage: Bacteria; Pseudomonadati; Pseudomonadota; Gammaproteobacteria; Enterobacterales; Enterobacteriaceae. The record is from RNAcentral.